This 65-nucleotide transfer RNA is filed under the name Symplanella brevicephala. RNAcentral describes it as "tRNA-Ser". The record is from RNAcentral. Lineage: Eukaryota; Metazoa; Arthropoda; Insecta; Hemiptera; Caliscelidae.
AGUUAAUUAGCAUAAUAGCAUUAUAUCUUGAAAAUAUAAAAAAAGAAUAAACUUUCUAUUAACUU